GGGUCUGUAGCUCAGUUGGUUAGAGCGCACCCCUGAUAAGGGUGAGGUCGGAGGUUCAAAUCCUCCCAGACCCACCA
This 77-nucleotide transfer RNA is filed under the name endosymbiont of Riftia pachyptila. RNAcentral's name for it is "tRNA-Ile". It matches the Rfam family "tRNA". Rfam says of the family: Transfer RNA (tRNA) molecules are approximately 80 nucleotides in length. The record is from RNAcentral. Lineage: Bacteria; Pseudomonadati; Pseudomonadota; Gammaproteobacteria. RNAcentral also lists the same sequence under 118 other names.